UACGUAGGGUGCAAGCGUUGUCCGGAAUUAUUGGGCGUAAAGAGCUCGUAGGCGGUCUGUCGCGUCGGAUGUGAAAAUCCAGGGCUCAACCCUGGACCUGCAUUCGAUACGGGCAGACUAGAGUUCGGUAGGGGAGACUGGAAUUCCUGGUGUAGCGGUGAAAUGCGCAGAUAUCAGGAGGAACACCGGUGGCGAAGGCGGGUCUCUGGGCCGGUACUGACACUGAGGAGCGAAAGCGUGGGUAGCAAACAGG
Molecule: ribosomal RNA, 253 nt
Filed under: uncultured bacterium
Lineage: Bacteria
Description: partial 16S ribosomal RNA
Rfam family: Bacterial small subunit ribosomal RNA
Source: RNAcentral